Molecule: ribosomal RNA, 207 nt
Filed under: uncultured bacterium
Lineage: Bacteria
Description: partial 16S ribosomal RNA
Rfam family: Bacterial small subunit ribosomal RNA
Source: RNAcentral
CGUGCAGGCGGUUUCGUAAGUCGGACGUGAAAGCUCCUGGCUCAACUGGGAGAGGUCGUUCGAUACUGCGGGACUUGAGGUUGGGAGAGGGACGUGGAAUUCCCGGUGUAGUGGCGGAAUGCGUAGAUAUCGGGAGGAACACCAGUGGCGAAGGCGGCGUCCUGGCCCACACCUGACGCUAAGACGCGAAAGCGUGGGUAGCGAACG